RNAcentral lists this ribosomal RNA (303 nucleotides) under uncultured bacterium. RNAcentral describes it as "partial 16S ribosomal RNA". It matches the Rfam family "Bacterial small subunit ribosomal RNA", at positions 507 to 807 of the family's 1533-position model. The record is from RNAcentral.
AGCAGCAGCCACGGUAAUACGAAGGGGGCUAGCGUUGCUCGGAAUGACUGGGCGUAAAGGGCGCGUAGGCGGUUUAUACAGUCAGAUGUGAAAUUCCUGGGCUCAACCUGGGGACUGCAUUUGAUACGUAUGGACUUGAGUGGAGAAGAGGGUUGUGGAAUUUCCAGUGUAGAGGUGAAAUUCGUAGAUAUUGGAAAGAACACCGGUGGCGAAGGCGGCAACCUGGUCUUUAACUGACGCUGAGGCGCGAAAGCGUGGGGAGCAAACAGGAUUAGAUACCCGCGUAGUCCCUGUCUCUUAUAC